Molecule: ribosomal RNA, 1090 nt
Filed under: Acinetobacter sp.
Lineage: Bacteria; Pseudomonadati; Pseudomonadota; Gammaproteobacteria; Moraxellales; Moraxellaceae
Description: bacterial SSU rRNA
Rfam family: Bacterial small subunit ribosomal RNA
Source: RNAcentral
GGGUGAGUAAAGCUUAGGAAUCUGCCUAUUAGUGGGGGACAACAUUCCGAAAGGGAUGCUAAUACCGCAUACGUCCUACGGGAGAAAGCAGGGGACCUUCGGGCCUUGCGCUAAUAGAUGAGCCUAAGUCGGAUUAGCUAGUUGGUGGGGUAAAGGCCUACCAAGGCGACGAUCUGUAGCGGGUCUGAGAGGAUGAUCCGCCACACUGGGACUGAGACACGGCCCAGACUCCUACGGGAGGCAGCAGUGGGGAAUAUUGGACAAUGGGGGGAACCCUGAUCCAGCCAUGCCGCGUGUGUGAAGAAGGCCUUAUGGUUGUAAAGCACUUUAAGCGAGGAGGAGGCUACUAGUAUUAAUAGUACUGGAUAGUGGACGUUACUCGCAGAAUAAGCACCGGCUAACUCUGUGCCAGCAGCCGCGGUAAUACAGAGGGUGCGAGCGUUAAUCGGAUUUACUGGGCGUAAAGCGUGCGUAGGCGGCUAAUUAAGUCAAAUGUGAAAUCCCCGAGCUUAACUUGGGAAUUGCAUUCGAUACUGGUUAGCUAGAGUAUGGGAGAGGAUGGUAGAAUUCCAGGUGUAGCGGUGAAAUGCGUAGAGAUCUGGAGGAAUACCGAUGGCGAAGGCAGCCAUCUGGCCUAAUACUGACGCUGAGGUACGAAAGCAUGGGGAGCAAACAGGAUUAGAUACCCUGGUAGUCCAUGCCGUAAACGAUGUCUACUAGCCGUUGGGGCCUUUGAGGCUUUAGUGGCGCAGCUAACGCGAUAAGUAGACCGCCUGGGGAGUACGGUCGCAAGACUAAAACUCAAAUGAAUUGACGGGGGCCCGCACAAGCGGUGGAGCAUGUGGUUUAAUUCGAUGCAACGCGAAGAACCUUACCUGGUCUUGACAUAGUGAGAAUCCUUUAGAGAUAGAGGAGUGCCUUCGGGAAUUCACAUACAGGUGCUGCAUGGCUGUCGUCAGCUCGUGUCGUGAGAUGUUGGGUUAAGUCCCGCAACGAGCGCAACCCUUUUUCCUUACUUGCCAGCAUUUUCGGAUGGGAACUUUAAAGGAUACUGGCCGGUGACAAACUGGAAGGAAGGCGGGGAACAACG